The submitters of this non-coding RNA (141 nucleotides) gave its source as unclassified sequences. The record is from Rfam.
AAAUGAAUUAAGAGGCAACUCUUAACUGACCGACUAAGGAAAAAUCGAGAGAUUCAAGCUUAGGGGGCAGAAAACUCUGCGGAGUAGCGCUAAAAUCGUAGGGUGGAAGGCAUGGCGGUAGCGCAUACAACGACGUGCCAA